CCCUUAGAUGUUCUGGGCCGCACGCGUGCUACACUGAGUAAAUCAAUGGGUAAGGGAACACGAAAGUGCAACCUAAUCUUCAAAUUUGCUCGUGAUGGGGAUCGACGGUUGCAAUUUUCCGUCGUGAACGAGGAAUACCUUGUAGGCGCGUGUCAUCAUCACGCGCCGAAUACGUCCCGGCCCUUUGUACACACCGCCCGUCGCUCCUACCGAUUGAGUGAUCCGGUGAGGCUCUGGGACCUGGACGGAAAGAGCGUUUCGCUUGUUCUGUUUGGGAAACUUGGUCGAACCUUAUCAUUUAGAGGAAGGAGAAGUCGUAACA
RNAcentral lists this ribosomal RNA (322 nucleotides) under uncultured eukaryote. RNAcentral describes it as "partial 18S ribosomal RNA". It matches the Rfam family "Eukaryotic small subunit ribosomal RNA", at positions 1470 to 1796 of the family's 1831-position model. The record is from RNAcentral.